UACGGGGGGAGCAAACGUUGUUCGGAAUCACUGGGCUUAAAGGGCGCGUAGGCGGGUCAGCAAGUCCGGGGUGAAAUCUUUCGGCUCAACCGGAAAAGUGCCUUGGAUACUGCUGGUCUCGAGGGAGGUAGGGGUUUGUGGAACUUCUGGUGGAGCGGUGAAAUGCGUUGAUAUCAGAAGGAACGCCGGUGGCGAAAGCGACGAACUGGACCUCUUCUGACGCUGAGGCGCGAAAGCUAGGGGAGCAAACGGG
RNAcentral lists this ribosomal RNA (253 nucleotides) under uncultured bacterium. RNAcentral describes it as "partial 16S ribosomal RNA". It matches the Rfam family "Bacterial small subunit ribosomal RNA", at positions 524 to 776 of the family's 1533-position model. The record is from RNAcentral.